This is a long non-coding RNA of Armigeres subalbatus, 378 nucleotides long. RefSeq lists it as uncharacterized. The transcript is spliced from 3 exons. The record is from RefSeq and is a predicted model, not a curated record. Lineage: Eukaryota; Metazoa; Arthropoda; Insecta; Diptera; Culicidae.
GGAAACCCAGCAAAGAUGGUACUGAUAUGCGAUUCACGGCAGUAAACGGACUGUCACUUAUAUAACUUUCAAACUCUAAACAAAUUUUAUUUUAUUGUGGUUGACACAACAGAAUCAGCUGAAAUGGACCAAACAAUAGAACAGACUUUUGAAGUUACAGUUAAACAAGAACCCGUCGAAAAUAAUUAUUCGAGUGCAAUAUCUGAAGACGUUUGCCUGCUGAACCAAUUUUGUCGGCUUUGUUUACAGAACAGUUCAGUAUCAUUCAAUCUAGAACUAACAAUUCGUCAAAUGUUUCAGUCGGUAACCGGCCUGGAAUUAGUCGUAGAGGAUAAACUGCCUACGAAAGUAUGUCAAUCUUGUAAGAAUUCACUGGAA